Molecule: long non-coding RNA, 897 nt
Organism: Oreochromis aureus
Lineage: Eukaryota; Metazoa; Chordata; Actinopteri; Cichliformes; Cichlidae
Exons: 3
Source: RefSeq, a predicted model, not a curated record
AGGACUAGAAGGAUACACAGCAACAGAAGGAAACAACGUGAAUCAAGAGGGAAGAUGCAACCAAGAACAGAAGCAAACUGAGGGUUUAAAUACACAAGAAACGUUCAGGGGAGGAUGGAGACACCUGGUGAAACACAGCUAAACUAAAUCUACCUAAUGAGACGAGGAAGCAAAACUGAACAUAAGGCACACAGGAAGUAACAGACAUACAAACCUGACCUAAUCAGGGGAGCACAGAGACUGAGACAAAGAUCAACAACAGGUUGAGGAGAGAGGCCGGGCAGCUCAUCUAAGCCAGCUUUUAUAUCCUGGACAACACAGGCCGAGUUCAGAGAGGAUUUUCUUUACGCAAGUCUUUUCGGUGAAAACGACUCCCUGCUGCUGCAGGAAAAAGGCUGAUACAGCAGCGAAGCUCAACCAAACAGCAAAGCGGUGAAAAUAAUGAUGCAAAGGAUCCUCAGAGAGCAGCUUUGCCGAGCUUCCAGUGGUGAACUUCAGUGUCGACACCACCCAGAUGUUCUCUGACAGUGAUGAAGACCCCAGUUUGGGAUGUGACAUCGUGCACUGGAACACAGGAUGGAGACAGAAACGACUGCAGAAUACUGACCAGAUGCAGAAAUCUAAGUUUCAAAGUAUCUCUGCAGAAACCUGAAGGCUUCGACGGUGAGAUGAAAGUUUCAACAUUCAUUUAUUUCCCAGAAUAAUCUCAGAUUUUUACGUUCAGGGAUGUGACUGCUGUGCUACGCGUCCACCAGGACAGUUUUCCCCUGGAACCAGUCCACUUACAGUACUGUGAAAAUAUUGCAUAUAAAAAUUUAGAGCUACUCGCACAGCAGCACAACAUUAUCCAUAUUAAUCUUUAAAAUUAUUGAUUAAGUAGGAUCGUUUUUCACAGUA